CCUACGGGAGGCAGCAGUGAGGAAUAUUGGACAAUGGGCGCAAGCCUGAUCCAGCCAUGCCGCGUGCAGGAAGACGGUCCUAUGGAUUGUAAACUGCUUUUGUACGGGAAGAAACACUCCUUCGUGAAGGAGCUUGACGGUACCGUAAGAAUAAGGAUCGGCUAACUCCGUGCCAGCAGCCGCGGUAAUACGGAGGAUCCAAGCGUUAUCCGGAAUCAUUGGGUUUAAAGGGUCCGUAGGCGGUUUAGUAAGUCAGUGGUGAAAGCCCAUCGCUCAACGGUGGAACGGCCAUUGAUACUGCUAGACUUGAAUUAUUAGGAAGUAACUAGAAUAUGUAGUGUAGCGGUGAAAUGCUUAGAGAUUACAUGGAAUACCAAUUGCGAAGGCAGGUUACUACUAAUGGAUUGACGCUGAUGGACGAAAGCGUGGGUAGCGAACAGGAUUAGAUACCCUGGUAGUCCACGCCGUAAACGAUGGAUACUAGCUGUUGGGGGUCAACGUUCAGUGGCUAAGCGAAAGUGAUAAGUAUCCACCUGGGGAGUACGUUCGCAAGAAUGAAACUCAAAGGAAUUGACGG
RNAcentral lists this ribosomal RNA (577 nucleotides) under uncultured bacterium. Its description in RNAcentral is "bacterial SSU rRNA". It matches the Rfam family "Bacterial small subunit ribosomal RNA", at positions 338 to 916 of the family's 1533-position model. The record is from RNAcentral.